CAAAUUUGUGAAUGGCCUGCUGAAACUGUACUGGUCUAAGAAGGGAGCUCUUGGUGAGGAGAUGGAAGACCUCCUGGAUAAACUUGAUGAACAGACAUCCAACACUGUGUCCAACGGGCACUGAGAGGCCUGCCCAUUUUCCUCAAGAGAAGAUGCAACAGAGGUUUUCCUGAAGUGCUUAGACACUGACAUUUUGGAACCAGUGUUGAACGGUGCAUCAGUUGCCAUCCUCACCAUCCUACAAGAUGACGAUGCUGAUACGUCUGUGCGAGAACAUGCAGUUGUGUUGGAAGGGGACAUCGUGCUACAUAACAUUCCAGAUCUCUCUACUGCCCUGGCACACCUCUUUGGCCUUCUGUAUGCCCUCAACAUUGAUUAUCCAAAGCAGAUGAGUUUUACCUUUGAAGCAAUUCAGGCCAUCUUAUUUUGGCCUGGUCGGACAAUAUGAAGGUGAAGUGGAUAAAUCAUUAUUCGAAAUGUAAAUUUUAGUCAGAUGAAUCUGUAUUGUUGAGAAUAUAUGGUGAAAAUUUGUCUUGUAGUAUUGUAAAAGAUUUGUUAUAGUGUUAGUUUCCUCUUCAUUGAUGGUAACAUUUCUAAUAACUUUUAACUUCCGUAGUUCAUCAUAGUAAGCCUGUGUAAAAUGUCAAUGUCUGGGUACAUAGGCAAUCGUUUGUGGCACUACCCUAUUUAAUGUGCAAUAGUUAUGUUCAGCUUUUACAAGACGGUCAGGGUGUGUGUGCGUGAAUUAUUAAGUUGCUGGACACUUUUCUUUUUUGGUUCUGGACUGUGGAAUUUUAACAUCUCUGCUGGGGUGCUCAAAGCACCCAAAAGAAACUGGCAACAUGC
Molecule: long non-coding RNA, 846 nt
Organism: Oreochromis aureus
Lineage: Eukaryota; Metazoa; Chordata; Actinopteri; Cichliformes; Cichlidae
Exons: 3
Source: RefSeq, a predicted model, not a curated record